This 497-nucleotide ribosomal RNA is filed under the name uncultured bacterium. RNAcentral's name for it is "partial 16S ribosomal RNA". It matches the Rfam family "Bacterial small subunit ribosomal RNA", at positions 28 to 507 of the family's 1533-position model. The record is from RNAcentral.
GAUGAACGCUGGCGGCGUGCCUAAUACAUGCAAGUCGAGCGAACAGACGAGGAGCUUGCUCCUCUGACGUUAGCGGCGGACGGGUGAGUAACACGUGGAUAACCUACCUAUAAGACUGGGAUAAAUUCGGGACACCGGAGCUAAUACCGGAUAAUAUAUUGAACCACAUGGUUCAAUAGUGAAAGACGGUUUUGCUGUCACUUAUAGAUGGAUCCGCGCCGCAUUAGCUGGUUGGUAAGGUAACGGCUUACCACGGCAAGGAUGCGUAGCCGACCUGGAGGGGUGAUCGCCCACCCUGGAACGGAGACACGGCCCAGACUCCUACGGGAGGCAGCAGUGGGGAAUUUUCCGCAAGGGGGGAAAGCUGAACGGAGCAACGCCGGGUGAUGGAUGAAGUUCUUCGGAUCGUAAAACUCUGUUAUUAGGAAGGAAGAAAUGUGUAAGUAACUAUGCACGUCUUGACGGUACCUAAUCAGAAAGCCACGGCUAACUACGUG